This 119-nucleotide ribosomal RNA is filed under the name Pteropus alecto (black flying fox). Lineage: Eukaryota; Metazoa; Chordata; Mammalia; Chiroptera; Pteropodidae. The record is from RNAcentral.
AAAAACGGCCAUGCCACCCUGAACGUGCCUGAUCCCGUCCGAUCCCGGAAGCUAAGCAGGGUCGGGCCUGGUUAGUAUUUGGAUGGGAGACCGCCUUGGACUACGAGGGGCCGUAGGCA